Molecule: ribosomal RNA, 344 nt
Filed under: uncultured bacterium
Lineage: Bacteria
Description: bacterial SSU rRNA
Rfam family: Bacterial small subunit ribosomal RNA
Source: RNAcentral
AGAGUUUGAUCAUGGCUCAGGAUGAACGCUAGCUACAGGCUUAACACAUGCAAGUCGAGGGGAAACGACAUCGAAAGCUUGCUUUUGAUGGGCGUCGACCGGCGCACGGGUGAGUAACGCGUAUCCAACCUGCCCAUCACUUGGGGAUAACCUUGCGAAAGUAAGACUAAUACCCAAUGAUAUCUCUAGAAGGCAUCUGAAAGAGAUUAAAGAUUUAUCGGUGAUGGAUGGGGAUGCGUCUGAUUAGCUUGUGCGGGUACGCCACAAGCACGAUCAGUAGGGGUUCUGAGAGGAAGGUCCCCCANAUUGGAACUGAGACACGGUCCAAACUCCUACGGGAGGCA